Molecule: ribosomal RNA, 404 nt
Filed under: uncultured bacterium
Lineage: Bacteria
Description: bacterial SSU rRNA
Rfam family: Bacterial small subunit ribosomal RNA
Source: RNAcentral
UGCAGUCGAGCGSCACCCAAGGGGAGNGGCACACGGGUGAGUAACGCGUGGGAACCUACCUUUUGCUACGGAAUAACUCAGGGAAACUUGUGCUAAUACCGUAUGUGCCCUUCGGGGGAAACAUUUAUCGGCAANGGAUCGGCCCGCGUUGGAUUAGCUCGUUGGUGAGGUAAAGGCCCACCAAGGCGACUAUCCAUAGCUGGUCUGANAGGAUGAUCAACCACACUGGGACUGAGACACGGCCCAAACUCCUACGGGAGGCAGCAGUGGGGAAUAUUGCACAAUGGGCGCAAGCCUGAUCCAUCCAUGCCGCGUGAGUGAUGAAGGCCCUAUGGUUGUAAAGCUCUUUCACCGGUGAAGAUAAUGACGGUAACCGGAGAAGAAGCCCCGGCUAACUUCGUGCC